UGCGUAGGCGGCUUUGCAAGUCAGAUGUGAAAUCUAUGGGCUCAACCCAUAAACUGCAUUUGAAACUGUAGAGCUUGAGUGAAGUAGAGGCAGGCGGAAUUCCCCGUGUAGCGGUGAAAUGCGUAGAGAUGGGGAGGAACACCAGUGGCGAAGGCGGCUUGCUGGACGAUAACUGACGCUGAGGCGCGAAAGCGUGGGAGCAAACA
Molecule: ribosomal RNA, 206 nt
Filed under: uncultured bacterium
Lineage: Bacteria
Description: partial 16S ribosomal RNA
Rfam family: Bacterial small subunit ribosomal RNA
Source: RNAcentral